This 888-nucleotide ribosomal RNA is filed under the name uncultured bacterium. RNAcentral describes it as "bacterial SSU rRNA". It matches the Rfam family "Bacterial small subunit ribosomal RNA", at positions 35 to 873 of the family's 1533-position model. The record is from RNAcentral.
AAUGGCGGCAGCUAUAAUGCAAGUCGAGCGGACAGAUGGGAGCUUGCUCCCUGAUGUUAGCGGCGGACGGGUGAGUAACACGUGGGUAACCUGCCUGUAAGACUGGGAUAACUCCGGGAAACCGGGGCUAAUACCGGAUGGUUGUUUGAACCGCAUGGUUCAAACAUAAAAGGUGGCUUCGGCUACCACUUACAGAUGGACCCGCGGCGCAUUAGCUAGUUGGUGAGGUAAUGGCUCACCAAGGCGACGAUGCGUAGCCGACCUGAGAGGGUGAUCGGCCACACUGGGACUGAGACACGGCCCAGACUCCUACGGGAGGCAGCAGUAGGGAAUCUUCCGCAAUGGACGAAAGUCUGACGGAGCAACGCCGCGUGAGUGAUGAAGGUUUUCGGAUCGUAAAGCUCUGUUGUUAGGGAAGAACAAGUACCGUUCGAAUAGGGCGGUACCUUGACGGUACCUAACCAGAAAGCCACGGCUAACUACGUGCCAGCAGCCGCGGUAAUACGUAGGUGGCAAGCGUUGUCCGGAAUUAUUGGGCGUAAAGGGCUCGCAGGCGGUUUCUUAAGUCUGAUGUGAAAGCCCCCGGCUCAACCGGGGAGGGUCAUUGGAAACUGGGGAACUUGAGUGCAGAAGAGGAGAGUGGAAUUCCACGUGUAGCGGUGAAAUGCGUAGAGAUGUGGAGGAACACCAGUGGCGAAGGCGACUCUCUGGUCUGUAACUGACGCUGAGGAGCGAAAGCGUGGGGGAGCGAACAGGAUUAGAUACCCCUGGUAGUCCACGCCGUAAACGAUGAGUGCCUAAGUUGUUUAGGGGGUUUCCGCCCCUUAGUGCUGCAGCCUAACGCAUUAAGCCACCUCCCGCCCUGGGGGGAAGUUACGGCUCCGCCAA